CAGCAGCCACGGUAAUACGGAGGGUGCAAGCGUUAUCCGGAUUUAUUGGGUUUAAAGGGUCCGUAGGCGGAUCUGUAAGUCAGUGGUGAAAUCUCACAGCUUAACUGUGAAACUGCCAUUGAUACUGCAGGUCUUGAGUAAAUUUGAAGUGGCUGGAAUAAGUAGUGUAGCGGUGAAAUGCAUAGAUAUUACUUAGAACACCAAUUGCGAAGGCAGGUCACUAAGAUUUAACUGACGCUGAUGGACGAAAGCGUGGGGAGCGAACAGGAUUAGAUACCCCGGUAGUCCCUGUCUCUUAUAC
Molecule: ribosomal RNA, 301 nt
Filed under: uncultured bacterium
Lineage: Bacteria
Description: partial 16S ribosomal RNA
Rfam family: Bacterial small subunit ribosomal RNA
Source: RNAcentral